AACGCACAUUGCGCCCGCCAGCACUCUGGCGGGCAUGCCCGUCCGAGCGUCGCCUCCACCCGCCAGCACCGCUGUGUUGGGGCCUGGCCUGCCAGCCCCGAAAGAGAGAGGCGGGGCCCCCGCGCGCCGAGCGUAGUGCGAACGCCGCUCCGGCCGCCGGGGGCCUCCGGCCCGAGGCACCCAAGCCGACCUCGGAUCGGGCAGGACUACCCGCUGAACUUAA
Molecule: unclassified non-coding RNA, 223 nt
Filed under: uncultured fungus
Lineage: Eukaryota; Fungi
Description: partial contains 5.8S ribosomal RNA, internal transcribed spacer 2, and large subunit ribosomal RNA
Source: RNAcentral